UGGUUAACGGCGGCUGAAUACGUAACGGUCCUAAGGUAGCAUAAUUCCUUGGCGGGUAAGCUCCGUCCUGCAUGAACGGUGUAACGACUACCUCUUUGUCGAUAGAAUAGACUCUUUGUAAAUAGAAUUAUCCAUGAAUAUGUGGACUACUGCGGCCCGACGGUAAGACCCUGAGCACCUUUACUUCCCU
RNAcentral lists this ribosomal RNA (190 nucleotides) under Hepatozoon catesbianae. Its description in RNAcentral is "large subunit ribosomal RNA". It matches the Rfam family "Bacterial large subunit ribosomal RNA", at positions 1921 to 2110 of the family's 2925-position model. RNAcentral also lists the same sequence under 2 other names. The record is from RNAcentral. Lineage: Eukaryota; Apicomplexa; Hepatozoidae.